UCCACUGAUGUCAUCAGCAUUCCUGUGGCUGACAUGACUAAUUCAUAGCUGGAGUGGUGAAGGCUGAAUUUCUGUCUGCGACUGAUUAAAAUGCCUGAGUUAAAACUGUUGCAAGAAAAGAAAAGCUGUAAUGGAAACAGUGCCAUGACUACAGAUGAUAAUGAGAAAGAGAAUAAGUUGUGGUCCUGCACUGAAUGAAACGUGCAGAAUUUUCAACCAAAAAAAAUCACCUCCAGCUUUGACAGAGGGGAAAUAUGGCUCCG
Molecule: long non-coding RNA, 263 nt
Filed under: Apteryx rowi (Okarito brown kiwi)
Lineage: Eukaryota; Metazoa; Chordata; Aves; Apterygiformes; Apterygidae
Description: lncRNA (ENSARWG00000011540.1)
Source: RNAcentral